Molecule: ribosomal RNA, 449 nt
Filed under: uncultured bacterium
Lineage: Bacteria
Description: partial 16S ribosomal RNA
Rfam family: Bacterial small subunit ribosomal RNA
Source: RNAcentral
AACGAACGCUGGCGGCAGGCCUAAAACAUGCAAGUCGAACGAUCUAGCAAUAGAUAGUGGCGCACGGGUGGGUAACACGUGGGAAUAUCCCUUUCACUACGGAACAACGUCGGGAAACUGACGCUAAUACCGUAUAAUGUCUCCGGACCAAAGAUUUAUCGGUGAAAGAUUAGCCCGCGUCUGAUUAGCUAGUUGGUGAGGUAACGGCUCACCAAGGCAACGAGCAGUAGCUGGUCUGAGAGGAUGAUCAGCCACACUGGAACUGAGACACGGUCCAGACUCCUACGGGAGGCAGCAGUUAGGAAUAUUGGACAAUGGGGGCAACCCUGAUCCAGCCAUGCCGCGUGUGUGACGAAGGCCUUAGGGUUGUAAAGCACUUUCGUCUACGAAGAUAAUGACAGUAGUAGAAGAAGAAGCUCCGGCUAAAUUCGUGCCAGCCGCCGCGGUAA